Molecule: transfer RNA, 76 nt
Filed under: Desulfosporosinus sp.
Lineage: Bacteria; Bacillati; Bacillota; Clostridia; Eubacteriales; Desulfitobacteriaceae
Description: tRNA-OTHER
Rfam family: tRNA
About the family: Transfer RNA (tRNA) molecules are approximately 80 nucleotides in length. Their secondary structure includes four short double-helical elements and three loops (D, anti-codon, and T loops). Further hydrogen bonds mediate the characteristic L-shaped molecular structure. tRNAs have two regions of fundamental functional importance: the anti-codon, which is responsible for specific mRNA codon recognition, and the 3' end, to which the tRNAs corresponding amino acid is attached (by aminoacyl-tRNA synthetases). tRNAs cope with the degeneracy of the genetic code in two manners: having more than one tRNA (with a specific anti-codon) for a particular amino acid; and 'wobble' base-pairing, i.e. permitting non-standard base-pairing at the 3rd anti-codon position.
Source: RNAcentral
GCUGAAAUUGGUUUAAUGGGAAAGCAGCUGGUCAAUGAGGACUAGCAGAUGAAGGUUCGAGUCCUUCCUUUCAGCC